CCUACGGGAGGCAGCAGUAGGGAAUAUUGGUUAAUGGAUGCAAGUCUGAACCAGCCAUGCCGCGUGCAGGAAGACGGCCUUCUGGGUUGUAAACUGCUUUAGCCUGGGGAUAAAAUAGCUAUGCGUAGCGAAUUGAAAGUACCAGGAUAAUAAGCUACGGCUAACUACGUGCCAGCAGCCGCGGUAAU
This 188-nucleotide ribosomal RNA is filed under the name uncultured bacterium. RNAcentral's name for it is "partial 16S ribosomal RNA". It matches the Rfam family "Bacterial small subunit ribosomal RNA", at positions 338 to 524 of the family's 1533-position model. The record is from RNAcentral.